This 149-nucleotide ribosomal RNA is filed under the name Dickeya solani. Its description in RNAcentral is "partial 23S ribosomal RNA". The stretch from base 1 to 131 matches the Rfam family "Bacterial large subunit ribosomal RNA", at positions 2800 to 2925 of the family's 2925-position model. The record is from RNAcentral. Lineage: Bacteria; Pseudomonadati; Pseudomonadota; Gammaproteobacteria; Enterobacterales; Pectobacteriaceae.
CGAGAUGAGUCUUCCCUGGGAACUUGAUUCCCCUGAAGGGACGUUCGAGACGAGGACGUUGAUAGGCUGGGUGUGUAAGCGUAGCGAUACGUUGAGCUAACCAGUACUAAUGACCCGAGAGGCUUAACCUUACAACACCGAAGGUGUUU